This 468-nucleotide ribosomal RNA is filed under the name uncultured bacterium. Its description in RNAcentral is "partial 16S ribosomal RNA". It matches the Rfam family "Bacterial small subunit ribosomal RNA", at positions 28 to 507 of the family's 1533-position model. The record is from RNAcentral.
GACGAACGCUGGCGGCGUGCUUAACACAUGCAAGCCGAACGGAAAGGCCCUGCUUUUGUGGGGUGCUCGAGUGGCGAACGGGUGAGUAACACGUGAGUAACCUGCCCUUGACUUUGGGAUAACUUCAGGAAACUGGGGCUAAUACCGGAUAGGAGCUCCUGCUGCAUGGUGGGGGUUGGAAAGUUUCGGCGGUUGGGGAUGGACUCGCGGCUUAUCAGCUUGUUGGUGGGGUAGUGGCUUACCAAGGCUUUGACGGGUAGCCGGCCUGAGAGGGUGACCGGCCACAUUGGGACUGAGAUACGGCCCAGACUCCUACGGGAGGCAGCAGUGGGGAAUAUUGCACAAUGGGCGGAAGCCUGAUGCAGCAACGCCGCGUGCGGGAUGACGGCCUUCGGGUUGUAAACCGCUUUCGCCUAUGACGAAGCGUGAGUGACGGUAAUGGGUAAAGAAGCACCGGCUAACUACGUG